Molecule: ribosomal RNA, 253 nt
Filed under: uncultured bacterium
Lineage: Bacteria
Description: partial 16S ribosomal RNA
Rfam family: Bacterial small subunit ribosomal RNA
Source: RNAcentral
UACGGGGGGGGCAAGCGUUGUUCGGAAUUACUGGGCGUAAAGGGCUCGUAGGCGGCCAACUAAGUCACACGUGAAAUCCCUCGGCUCAACCGGGGAACUGCGUGUGAGACUGGAUGGCUUGAGUAUGGUAGAGGCGAGCGGAAUUCCCAGUGUAGCGGUGAAAUGCGUAGAUAUUGGGAAGAACACCGGUGGCGCAAGCGGCUCGCUGGGCCAUUACUGACGCUGAGGAACGAAAGCUAGGGGAGCGAAUGGG